This 381-nucleotide ribosomal RNA is filed under the name uncultured organism. Its description in RNAcentral is "bacterial SSU rRNA". It matches the Rfam family "Bacterial small subunit ribosomal RNA", at positions 367 to 757 of the family's 1533-position model. The record is from RNAcentral.
CGCAAUGGGCGAAAGCCUGACGGAGCGACAUCGCGUGCUGGAUGAAGUGCUUAGGUACGUAAACAGCUUUUAUCGGGGACGAAGUAAUUGACGGUACCCGAUGAAUAAGGGGCUCCUAACUCUGUGCCAGCAGGAGCGGUAAUACAGAGGCCCCAAGCAUUACCCGGAAUCACUGGGCGUAAAGGGUGUCCAGGCGGCCUUAUUAGUCUCUUGUAAAAUCCGUGGGCUCAACCUACGGCGCGCAAGGGAAACGGUAAGGCUCGAGGGCGCGAGAGGUACAGGGAACUCAUGGUGGAGGGGUGAAAUCCGUUGAUAUCAUGGAAAAACACCAAAGGCGAAGGCACUGUACUGGCGCGUUCCCCCUUUUUGGUCAGCCCCCUA